UACGUAGGGUGCAAGCGUUAAUCGGAAUUACUGGGCGUAAAGCGUGCGUAGGCGGUUGGCAAAGUCAGCUGUGAAAGCCCCGGGCUUAACCUGGGAAUGGCGGUUGAAACUAGUCGACUCGAAUCUGGCAGAGGGGGGUGGAAUUCCACGUGUAGCAGUGAAAUGCGUAGAGAUGUGGAGGAACACCGAUGGCGAAGGCAGCCCCCUGGGCUGAGAUUGACGCUCAGGCACGAAAGCGUGGGGAGCAAACAGG
This 253-nucleotide ribosomal RNA is filed under the name uncultured bacterium. RNAcentral describes it as "partial 16S ribosomal RNA". It matches the Rfam family "Bacterial small subunit ribosomal RNA", at positions 524 to 776 of the family's 1533-position model. The record is from RNAcentral.